AGCAGUAGCCGCGGGAAUACGUAGGUGGCAAGCGUUGUCCGGAAUUAUUGGGCGUAAAGGGCUCGCAGGCGGUUUCUUAAGUCUGAUGUGAAAGCCCCCGGCUCAACCGGGGAGGGUCAUUGGAAACUGGGAAACUUGAGUGCAGAAGAGGAGAGUGGAAUUCCACGUGUAGCGGUGAAAUGCGCAGAGAUGUGGAGGAACACCAGUGGCGAAGGCGACUCUCUGGUCUGUAACUGACGCUGAGGAGCGAAAGCGUGGGGGGCGAACAGGAUUAGAUACCCCCGUAGUCCCUGUCUCUUAUAC
This 303-nucleotide ribosomal RNA is filed under the name uncultured bacterium. RNAcentral's name for it is "partial 16S ribosomal RNA". It matches the Rfam family "Bacterial small subunit ribosomal RNA", at positions 507 to 807 of the family's 1533-position model. The record is from RNAcentral.